GAUGAAAUCUUGACAGAACCCUUCGGGGCGAAGAUAAGAUGGAUUAGCGGCGGACGGGUGAGUAACACGUGAGUAACCUGCCUUAGACAUUGGGAUAGCCUCGGGAAACCGGGAUUAAUACCAAAUGAAAUCACAUAUGCACAUGCAUAAAUGAUCAAAGCUCCGGCGGUCUAAGAUGGACUCGCGUCCCAUUAGCUAGUUGGUGAGGUAACGGCCCACCAAGGCGACGAUGGGUAGCCGGCCUGAGAGGGUGAACGGCCACAUUGGAACUGAGAAACGGUCCAAACUCCUACGGGAGGCAGCAGUGGGGAAUAUUGCACAAUGGAGGGAACUCUGAUGCAGCGACGCCGCGUGAACGAAGAAGGCUUUCGAGUCGUAAAGUUCUUUUAUAUGGGAAGAUAAUGACGGUACCAUAAGAAAAAGCCCCGGCUAACUACGUGCCAGCAGCCGCGGUAAUACGUAGGGGGCUAGCGUUGUCCGGAAUCACUGGGCGUAAAGGGUUCGCAGGCGGAAAUGCAAGUCAGGUGUAAAAGGCAGUAGCUUAACUACUGUAAGCAUUUGAAACUGCAUAUCUUGAGAAGAGUAGAGGUAAGUGGAAUUUUUAGUGUAGCGGUGAAAUGCGUAGAUAUUAAAAAGAAUACCGGUGGCGAAGGCGACUUACUGGGCUCAUUCUGACGCUGAGGAACGAAAGCGUGGGUAGCAAACAGGAUUAGAUACCCUGGUAGUCCACGCUGUAAACGAUGAGUGCUAGGUAUCGGAAUAAUUCGGUGCCGCAGUUAACACAUUAAACACUCCGCCUGGGGAGUACGC
Molecule: ribosomal RNA, 810 nt
Filed under: uncultured Clostridia bacterium
Lineage: Bacteria; Bacillati; Bacillota; Clostridia
Description: bacterial SSU rRNA
Rfam family: Bacterial small subunit ribosomal RNA
Source: RNAcentral